UUUUUUUUUUUUUUUGUAUUAAGCUGGGACUGUUACAACAAUAUAUUAUAAUAACAAAAUAUUAUAAUAUUUGCCAUGCUUUUGUUUUCAGGCAGAAGGACUUUGUCACGCAAGCGUUUGCUAAACCAGCAUUUUUCAAGUGUUAGGCCUUAAUAGGUCACAGUCACUAUUGCCUUUAAAGUGGAGUACAGUGGAAUGGAAAUAACUGAAUAGAGGAAGAUAGAAUAGAAUAGAGAAGGAUAGAGUAGAAUAGAAUAGGAGUGUAUUCAUGUUGCAAAGGUUUCAAGGAAUGGUGACUUUCAUGUGCUUGGCUAAUUCCAGCCUGAAGCAGCACAAUGUAUCAUGUGCAGAUGAUCAAAAGUACCUGGAUAAAGCCAAGUCCCCAGGAAACUCAACUUGUACCAUGCUGCAUGGGAUCCUAGGGAGAAGUUCAAAAGAUUUCCAGGCAAAAUAACCUUGUUGUCUCCCUGGAUGUGUUCAAAGUAGCCUGAAUCCCUCUCAUACACCUUGUGAAAAAUUUUUUUUCUGCAAUUCAAUAUCAAAAUAAGAGAAAAUAUAGAGUAAUAUAUUACAGAAAAACUCAGAAAUGGAAGGUAGCAGCAAGUUGUAAUGUAGUUUCUGUGAGUGGAAGAUUAAAGAGGAAUGUUCCAUUCAGGUGGCUUGAAGAUCCUCCUACAAAUGAAUUUUGAGUAUUUGGUAUUUCUUUCUUUUCCUUCAGUUUGUCAAAUGUGCCCAUAAUGUUUUAAAAAAAGACCCAAUAAAACAAAAAUGGCUAAAAUUUUGUAUCUUGUA
Molecule: long non-coding RNA, 792 nt
Filed under: Piliocolobus tephrosceles (Ugandan red Colobus)
Lineage: Eukaryota; Metazoa; Chordata; Mammalia; Primates; Cercopithecidae
Description: lncRNA (ENSPTEG00000030611.1)
Source: RNAcentral